Molecule: ribosomal RNA, 477 nt
Filed under: uncultured organism
Description: partial 16S ribosomal RNA
Rfam family: Bacterial small subunit ribosomal RNA
Source: RNAcentral
UACACUCCUACGGGAGGCAGCAGUGGGGAAUUUUGGACAAUGGGCGAAAGCCUGAUCCAGCCAUGCCGCGUGCAGGAUGAAGGCCUUCGGGUUGUAAACUGCUUUUGUACGGAACGAAACGGCCUUUUCUAAUAAAGAGGGCUAAUGACGGUACCGUAAGAAUAAGCACCGGCUAACUACGUGCCAGCAGCCGCGGUAAUACGUAGGGUGCAAGCGUUAAUCGGAAUUACUGGGCGUAAAGCGUGCGCAGGCGGUUAUGUAAGACAGUUGUGAAAUCCCCGGGCUCAACCUGGGAACUGCAUCUGUGACUGCAUAGCUAGAGUACGGUAGAGGGGGAUGGAAUUCCGCGUGUAGCAGUGAAAUGCGUAGAUAUGCGGAGGAACACCGAUGGCGAAGGCAAUCCCCUGGACCUGUACUGACGCUCAUGCACGAAAGCGUGGGGAGCAAACAGGAUUAGAUACCCUAGUAGUCCCAUGA